Molecule: small RNA, 716 nt
Filed under: Pongo abelii (Sumatran orangutan)
Lineage: Eukaryota; Metazoa; Chordata; Mammalia; Primates; Hominidae
Description: processed transcript
Source: RNAcentral
CUGAGUACUAUAUAAUUUACAAUCUUAAGAAAUUAUCAAGUUGGAACCAAGAAAUAGCAAGGAAAUGUACAAUUUUAUCUUCUGGCAAAGGGACAUCAUUCCUGUAUUAUAGUUCCAUGUGAAAUCUUCAUGGAAAAUGACAAGCAGUGGAUCACAUAUGUGUUUAUAGCAGACACAGGAGCUGGCUGUCUAGAAAUUGGCAGACGACAGAACUGCCCAAAGGCAGAGAAAAGAUAAUUGGCUGGUUAAGAAUUUCAUGACAAGGCUAUGAAUUUCCUAGACACCACUAGAAUAGAGGUGGAACAUUUGAAGAAAAUGUAAGCUGUUGAAGUGUGCUUAGAAAACUUGAAUGCUUGGUCAGAGUUAUCCAUCACAUGUUCAGUAAGAAGAACAAAGCAGUACACACAAUUGAGUAUUUCUGACAGGAAAAGUGUCCAGAAGUCACAAAUUGAUACUUGAUACAGCAGAAAAACACUGCAUAUUAGAAACAUCAGCUUUUCUGCACUCAACCUAAAGUCCUUUGGAACCCAUCGAAAGGUCAAUGUUAUUACCUUGCUCAUUUUUGAAGGACUUUUACAAGUAUUUUGAGAAGUAUCUGGGGAUGGACAUUCAUUUGUAGUUGUGGGUUCUGGAUUUUCAGGAUCAGGGUCUAUAAAGCAGAAGAAACCUAUAGUAAGUAUAAAAUUAUACAAUAAACACUGUUUUAACACCACAAA